This 237-nucleotide ribosomal RNA is filed under the name uncultured bacterium. Its description in RNAcentral is "partial 16S ribosomal RNA". It matches the Rfam family "Bacterial small subunit ribosomal RNA", at positions 524 to 758 of the family's 1533-position model. The record is from RNAcentral.
UACGUAGGGUGCGAGCGUUAAUCGGAAUACUGGCGUAAAGCGUGCGCAGGCGGUGAUGUAAGACAGGUGUGAAAUCCCCGGGCUUAACCUGGGAACUGCAUUGUGACUGCAUCGCUGGAGUGCGGCAGAGGGGAUGGAAUCCGCGUGUAGCAGUGAAAUGCGUAGAGUAAUGCGGAGGAACACCGAUGGCGAAGGCAAUCCCUGGGCCUGCCACGUGACGCUCCGAGUGACACGAAA